This 499-nucleotide ribosomal RNA is filed under the name uncultured bacterium. RNAcentral describes it as "partial 16S ribosomal RNA". It matches the Rfam family "Bacterial small subunit ribosomal RNA", at positions 28 to 507 of the family's 1533-position model. The record is from RNAcentral.
GACGAACGCUGGCGGCGUGCCUAAUACAUGCAAGUCGAGCGAAGUUUUUCUGGUGCUUGCACUAGAAAAACUUAGCGGCGAACGGGUGAGUAACACGUAAAGAACCUGCCUCAUAGACUGGGACAACUAUUGGAAACGAUAGCUAAUACCGGAUAACAGUAUUUCUCGCAUGAGAGAUAUUUAAAAGUUGGUUAUGCUAACACUAUGAGAUGGCUUUGCGGUGCAUUAGCUAGUUGGUGGGGUAAAGGCCCACCAAGGCGACGAUGCGUAGCCGACCUGAGAGGGUGAUCGGCCACACUGGGACUGAGACACGGCCCAGACUCCUACGGGAGGCAGCAGUAGGGAAUCUUCCGCAAUGGGCGAAAGCCUGACGGAGCAACGCCGCGUGAGUGAAGAAGGAUUUCGGUUCGUAAAGCUCUGUUGUUAGGGAAGAAUGGAUAUGUAGUAACUAUACAUGUAAGAGACGGUACCUAACCAGAAAGCCACGGCUAACUACGUG